This 226-nucleotide ribosomal RNA is filed under the name uncultured bacterium. RNAcentral describes it as "partial 16S ribosomal RNA". It matches the Rfam family "Bacterial small subunit ribosomal RNA", at positions 110 to 339 of the family's 1533-position model. The record is from RNAcentral.
GUAACGCGUGGGAAUCUGCCCUAUAGUGGGGGAUAAGCCAGGGAAACUUGGUCUAAUACCGCAUAAUCUCUACGGAGGAAAGCGGGGGAUCUUCGGACCUCGCGCUAUUGGAAGAGCUUGCGUUAGAUUAGCUAGUUGGUGGGGUAAAGGCUCACCAAGGCGACGAUCUAUAGCUGGUCUGAGAGGAUGAUCAGCCACACUGGGACUGAGACACGGCCCAGACUCC